GAAGUUACGAGCAAAACAUCACAAGUGGCAAAACCGUAAAUAUUUCAAAAUGGGUUUUUAAUAAAAAAAACCUGAAAACACACACAUUCUCUCUCGCUCUCUCUCUCCUAGCUGGGCUAGCGCAGAACCCCUCCCCUUCCCGAUUUUUGAACAGCCGAGCGGCUCUUGGAGCCGUCGCCGCCGCCGUGGUCCACCACCGGAGCUGGGUCCGGUCUUGAAAUGACCGGUGAGGCCUCACCGUCCUAACCCACCCAAUCUCCACCGCUAACAGUUUGCGCAACCUCCGAAUUUUGCUAAAAAUCCAGCCGGAUUUCGAGCUGUUUUUUCUUCAAUCGUUUCGGACGCCUCCGGCCACCAUUCCAGGCAAUCAAGGUAAAGGAGCUUCAACAUAUGAACGAUGUAGCGUUGAGAAUGAUCAGCGGUUGUCUCAAGCCAAAGAUCUUCAAGGAGAAUGAGAUGGUGAUUGAAGCGGGACAGCCACUUAACUCGAUGCUCAUUAUUACAGCAGGCUCAAUGCUGGCGUACAAGCCAAUUAGGGUUGCUACAGAGGUGAGUCCCUCAACCUCAUUUGAAACUCUUGAUAAAGGUAUGUUUGUUGGAGAACAACUUCUGGAUUGGGCAGGGAAAACCAAAACUUUCGAUGACCAACCUGUUUCAUUCAAAACUAUCUGAUGCUCCAAAAAAGUAGAAGCCUUUGCUCUCACAGUUGAUGACUUGGAAACUUUAGUGCUCUCCGGACACAUCUUUCCGAUGAAGUCAAAAGUUGGCAUUUUCAAAAUUGCUGCUGACCGGAAGAUACGUGAGAAACUAGAGGCGAUAUUUUGGUGGAUGGCAAUAAAUGGCAUUUCUGAUGAUGUGGCGAUAGAUAUUAUACAUGGUUUUAGUCAAGGUAAAUUGAAAGAAAACAUUCAUGCUGAAGUGGAUGUGAAUUAUAUGUUCUUUGUUCUUGAAGAAUAUGGAAAAAGCAUUAUGCGGCGCCAUUUCUGCAUGGAGACCUUGAAAAAAGUAGGUUCCUUUUUCUAUUUUUUUUUUUGGGGGUCCAAAAUGUGUUCAUGGAUCUCUAUAUAGAAAACUCUUUAGAGUCAUAUAAAAAUAGAUCAUUGAAAGCUCUAUAUAUAAUAACCCAAUAAUAUUACUGUUGUGCAAA
Prunus persica (peach) is the source of this 1147-nucleotide long non-coding RNA. RefSeq lists it as uncharacterized. Lineage: Eukaryota; Viridiplantae; Streptophyta; Magnoliopsida; Rosales; Rosaceae. The record is from RefSeq and is a predicted model, not a curated record. The transcript is spliced from 3 exons.